This 393-nucleotide unclassified non-coding RNA is filed under the name Hevea brasiliensis (rubber tree). Lineage: Eukaryota; Viridiplantae; Streptophyta; Magnoliopsida; Malpighiales; Euphorbiaceae. The record is from RNAcentral.
GAGGACCUAAAUAUAAAAAACAUAGAUGACCUAAAUAGCGUGUUAAUUUAUUGAAAAAAAAAAGAAAGCAAUCUCAAAAAAAUCCUAAUAUAAAGAACUCACAUAGCAUUGGUAGGUCUUAAAAGCAAAAGAAGGCAAUUUUAGAUAAACUAGAAACAGAUGAGUCUAGCUGGCAAUAAGGAUGAGAGAGAUAAUGAGAAGAUUGAAAACAAGGUAUGAGGAGAGAGAUCAAAGGAGCAUGAUUGUUGAAAAUGGAAAUAUGGGCAGUUUGUGAUCUUGGUGUGGUGGUUUGAUGUGAUUCCAGUGACUUUUUAUAAUAAGCAAGCCUAAUUCUGACGACUUUUUGGUGCAUUAAUACCAAAUUCUAGUGAUCAACAAAUUUCAAGUUUAGUG